RNAcentral lists this transfer RNA (76 nucleotides) under Armatimonadota bacterium. RNAcentral's name for it is "tRNA-Trp". It matches the Rfam family "tRNA". From Rfam's summary of the family: Transfer RNA (tRNA) molecules are approximately 80 nucleotides in length. Their secondary structure includes four short double-helical elements and three loops (D, anti-codon, and T loops). Lineage: Bacteria; Bacillati; Armatimonadota. The record is from RNAcentral.
AGGGGCUUAGCUCAGUUGGUAGAGCGCUGGUCUCCAAAACCAGAUGUCGUCGGUUCGAGCCCGGCAGCCCCUGCCA